GAUGAACGCUGGCGGCGUGCCUAAUACAUGCAAGUCGAGCGAACAGACGAGGAGCUUGCUCCUCUGACGUUAGCGGCGGACGGGUGAGUAACACGUGGAUAACCUACCUGUAAGACUGGGAUAACUUCGGGAAACCGGAGCUAAUACCGGAUAAUAUAUUGAACCGCAUGGUUCAAUAGUGAAAGACGGUUUUGCUGUCACUUAUAGAUGGAUCCGCGCCGCAUUAGCUAGUUGGUAAGGUAACGGCUUACCAAGGCAACGAUGCGUAGCCGACCUGAGGGGGUGAUCGGCCACACUGGAACUGAGACACGGUCCAGACUCCUACGGGAGGCAGCAGUAGGGAAUCUUCCGCAAUGGGCGAAAGCUUGACGGAGCAACGCCGCGUGAGUGAUGAAGGUCUUCGGAUCGUAAAACUCUGUUAUUAGGGAAGAACAAAUGUGUAAGUAACUAUGCACGUCUUGACGGUACCUAAUCAGAAAGCCACGGCUAACUACGUG
This 497-nucleotide ribosomal RNA is filed under the name uncultured bacterium. RNAcentral's name for it is "partial 16S ribosomal RNA". It matches the Rfam family "Bacterial small subunit ribosomal RNA", at positions 28 to 507 of the family's 1533-position model. The record is from RNAcentral.